RNAcentral lists this non-coding RNA (31 nucleotides) under Mus musculus (house mouse). The record is from RNAcentral. Lineage: Eukaryota; Metazoa; Chordata; Mammalia; Rodentia; Muridae.
UUUCCAAGUAUCGGUGCCGAAGUGGUGGCUU